GACGGGGGGGGCAAGUGUUCUUCGGAAUGACUGGGCGUAAAGGGUGCGUAGGCGGCUUUGCAAGUUGGGUGUGAAAGCCCUCGGCUCAACCGAGGAAUUGCGCUCAAUACUGCCGAGCUCGAGAGAGACAGAGGUAAGCGGAACUAAUGGUGGAGCGGUGAAAUGCGUUGAUAUCAUUAGGAACACCGGUGGCGAAGGCGGCUUACUGGGUCUUUUCUGACGCUGAGGCACGAAAGCCAGGGGAGCGAACGGG
This 253-nucleotide ribosomal RNA is filed under the name uncultured bacterium. RNAcentral describes it as "partial 16S ribosomal RNA". It matches the Rfam family "Bacterial small subunit ribosomal RNA", at positions 524 to 776 of the family's 1533-position model. The record is from RNAcentral.